CCACUUCUAGUGAUGAAGAACAGUCGGACGUAAAGAACUUUUAUUAUCUAAGAGCGUAGAAACUGUGGAUAUUUUCGUUGCCUUCCUUAGGAAUAUUU
This 98-nucleotide small nucleolar RNA is filed under the name Tuber melanosporum Mel28. RNAcentral's name for it is "small nucleolar RNA Z13/snr52". It matches the Rfam family "Small nucleolar RNA Z13/snr52". From Rfam's summary of the family: Z13 or snr52 is a member of the C/D class of snoRNA which contain the C (UGAUGA) and D (CUGA) box motifs. Lineage: Eukaryota; Fungi; Ascomycota; Pezizomycetes; Pezizales; Tuberaceae. The record is from RNAcentral.